RNAcentral lists this long non-coding RNA (309 nucleotides) under Manihot esculenta (cassava). Its description in RNAcentral is "long non-coding RNA (MESC_LNC004861)". The record is from RNAcentral. Lineage: Eukaryota; Viridiplantae; Streptophyta; Magnoliopsida; Malpighiales; Euphorbiaceae.
UAGGACACUCCUGAGCCAUGUGUCCCUCCUGCCCACAUCUGAAGCAGGCUGUCGUCCCAACCAGACACACUCCCUUGUGCGGCCUCCCACACUUCUUGCAUACUGCAUUAUCUGCACCAGAGCUUGAGCCACUCCCUAAUCCCAGACCUGACUUGAUCUUAUUCCAGAACUUGUUCUUCUUUGGCUUCUUGGUGGUACUGCUCCACCUCUUGUUGCCUGAAGCUGCUGCACUUAAAGAAGAAGAGCCUGGGGUCUUAGAACUAGAAGGCUGUGCCACUGACUGCUUAACCAUCCCCUGAAUGAUGGCAC